RNAcentral lists this long non-coding RNA (257 nucleotides) under Mytilus galloprovincialis (Mediterranean mussel). Lineage: Eukaryota; Metazoa; Mollusca; Bivalvia; Mytilida; Mytilidae. The record is from RNAcentral.
UGGAAAUUCAAACUUUAAUUAAAAUUUGUAAAACAAAUAAUUAAAUCACGACAACAAUCAGAUAUUGUUCAGGAAGCGUCGAUAUUCAACCGUUUCCAAGCGAAUUUAUCCCGAUAAUCCCGUUCUCAAUCCGCUUCUAAUCCAAUUUGUAUAUUUCGCCUGGUAAAAUUCGACCGAGUCUGUCACGACUGCGUCCCGAUUCUACCGAAUGUAAUCCGACAGAUAUAAGACAGUGACCAGACAGUUAACCGACGCUG